Long non-coding RNA from Brienomyrus brachyistius, 1465 nucleotides. RefSeq lists it as uncharacterized. NCBI's taxonomy places the organism in Eukaryota, Metazoa, Chordata, Actinopteri, Osteoglossiformes, Mormyridae. The record is from RefSeq and is a predicted model, not a curated record. The transcript has 5 exons.
GUACGUUUCUUGAGGGAGCCACAUUACAGCAUAACGUAUUUUCUCUUUCCUGUGAAGAAGAAUGAGAAAGGCAGGGUGAAGGGGUGGGUGGUCUGCCCCGCCAUGCCAACCAAACUGAUAAGGCGGCCUGCGUGUUCCAUGCAUCCUAAACAACAACAAACAUCGCCCUGGAAACCUUGCCUAAAUGUUCUGCCGAGGAUGGAGUCCCUCACCUAGACCCACCAAAACAGCUCUCCUUUCAACCAACACAACAGCACAAACACAGCAGCACAAAACUAGAUUCGUGCCACGCAACCAUUUGGAUUUGGACUUCACCCAACGAUAUGAGACCCUGCAAAGAGAAUGGAUGCAAGACAUUCCCAGCACAGCAUUAGACAUCUUACCUGACAUCAAACCCACAAUGUCUCGACAUCUUCGGAAGAUUCCCGCCGUGCCUCUUUUCCCGCCGCUGUUUAAUCAGCAUCCUAUGGUUUUACGGCACUCAGGGCGCCACAUCGUGCACGUUAACCCUCCCAUAUAAGAGCCGUUCUUUCAACAUGGCGCGCAAGUGUCUGCUUACAUUCAUCUGCCAUUAAUCAGUUGUUACCCUCAAUAUUUGUCUGCAUGGUUUUACUGUCCGCCCCCAUCUGGCUGUUCAGGUUAGAGACGUGGAGAGCGUGUUACUGGUGUUUCUUUCCGUUUUGCCACUUCUCUUGCAUUUUGCCGAAGCCAGACUAAAUUGCAAACAGAUUUCAUUGUUUGCUUUAUACUUUCGGGACGUUUCCCAUGUGAUGUGUUAAUUUCCAAGCAGCUUAGCGCAGAUAAAAUCGAUGCCAUUAAUUUAAGCAGAUGCAAAACAAACACUUUUAAUGUGACUGACUGAUCCUUAGGCCCAGUAGAGUUCACGCUAAGGACCAGAGUAGCGAGGAAGAGGAGGGCAGUCUGGCAAAGCACAGCUUGAUCUGUAUUCAGUGCCAUACUCUCUCUAAUGCUUAUAAAGGGCCAGUUGCGAUUAAUACUUUUAAAAACUGAUAAAAAAUUUCAUGCAUUAAACUUACUUUCUGUUGGCAUUUUCUGUUUCUUAUGAAUAUAGUUGACUCCAGUACCUUAGGUUUCACUUAAGAAUCUCUGCUUUGUUUUUUGUAACACUUGAUAGCCAACAUUUGAUGCAUAAAUGUGAAAACUUACUCAUUCUUAACAUCCUUUAUUUCGUCUAAUGAGUGCUGCGAUCUAUUUUAUUGAAGGGGAGGAAUUUUUACUACCUUUCCAAACCUUUUGAUCAGAUUAAGAGGUUUUGUGGAGGCCAGAGAAGGUGGAGGGGCAUUUACAGUGUGGAGCAGUGUCCAGUUACAGGUCAGCUUGUUUUGGCAUCUCUUUAGGAGGUCUACUGUAGGUGGCUGCCUGUUUAAUGCCUGCUCAAAAAUGUGCCUGCGCAUUCUCCAGCGGCUUGAGAUCUCCACCAUCUGAUGUUUAUUAACCUCUUAUG